UGGGGAAUAUUGCACAAUGGGCGAAAGCCUGAUGCAGCAACGCCGCGUGAGUGAUGAAGGCCUUCGGGUCGUAAAGCUCUUUGAUCAGGGAUGAUAAUGACAGUACCUGAAAAACAAGCCACGGCUAACUACGUGCCAGCAGCCGCGGUAAUACGUAGGUGGCGAGCGUUGUCCGGAAUUACUGGGCGUAAAGGAUGCGUAGGUGGAUACUUAAGUGGGAUGUGAAAUCCCCGGGCUCAACCCGGGAACU
This 250-nucleotide ribosomal RNA is filed under the name uncultured bacterium. RNAcentral's name for it is "partial 16S ribosomal RNA". It matches the Rfam family "Bacterial small subunit ribosomal RNA", at positions 355 to 622 of the family's 1533-position model. The record is from RNAcentral.